UACGUAGGGUGCAAGCGUUAAUCGGAAUUACUGGGCGUAAAGCGUGCGCAGGCGGUUUUGUAAGUCUGUCGUGAAAGCCCCGGGCUCAACCUGGGAAUUGCGAUGGAGACUGCGAGGCUUGAAUCUGGCAGAGGGGGGUAGAAUUCCACGUGUAGCAGUGAAAUGCGUAGAGAUGUGGAGGAACACCGAUGGCGAAGGCAGCCCCCUGGGUCAAGAUUGACGCUCAUGCACGAAAGCGUGGGGAGCAAACAGG
This 253-nucleotide ribosomal RNA is filed under the name uncultured bacterium. Its description in RNAcentral is "partial 16S ribosomal RNA". It matches the Rfam family "Bacterial small subunit ribosomal RNA", at positions 524 to 776 of the family's 1533-position model. The record is from RNAcentral.